This 1589-nucleotide long non-coding RNA is filed under the name Mytilus galloprovincialis (Mediterranean mussel). Lineage: Eukaryota; Metazoa; Mollusca; Bivalvia; Mytilida; Mytilidae. The record is from RNAcentral.
UAUCAAUGAUAUAUGUAAAGGUGUCAAAUUUUCUGUUGCAUUUGUAGAACUUGAGCAGACUUUGAAAGAAGUUUCCGAAAAUUUCCAAAAAAUUCGUAAAGAUAGACAUGAAAAUCUGUCUUCUUUAGUGGAUGAUCGGUUAAAAAUUGAAAAAGAAAUUCAACAAAAGAGGAAAGCGAUAAAUGAUCAUUUGGACCAACUUCAGAAGGAAAUCAUGAAUCAACUAAAUGCAGUCGAGGAAGCAGAGAGUAUAAAGAUUCGUCAUUUCUUAAAAUCAGUAGAUAAAACAGAAUCCGAAAUUGAUGAUUUCCGAAAGACUGUUGCAAAUUUCAAGCAGCAUGAAUCUGAGCUGAAUACAUUCCUUGCCAUGAAACAGAUAGAAUGUGGUGUAGUGAACACAGAAGCGGUUAUUCAAUCGUUAUCAGAACUUGGUGGUUUAGAAAAUAUCAAGAUAAACUGUGAGAUUGAAAAAGUAUUAUCCGAUUUCUCACGCAACAUUCAUCAGGUUGGCGAAAUCAUGGUUGAAUCCACUCCUUGUAAUAUUACAAUUGAAAAUCAAAAGAAGAAAUACGCACAGAUGUUGGUAGAUAGACCAUUAUAUAAGAUUGCACUUUCCUUAUCACAAACAGUUACCACGAUUGGAACAAAUAUCAGAGGUUGUGUUACCUUACCUAAUGGUCAGACGGCUUUUUCCUGUAACAGCACAAACAAAAUUUUGGUAAAUAAUGAGGAUGGGUCAGUUAACUUAGAGUUUCAGGCCAAAACCAAGAUAUUCGAUAUGGUAUAUAACACCAUAGACAAUACCGUUGUAGUUUCAUCUGGGGAUAGUUCGGGCAUUACUAUAGUAGAUCUAAGAAGAAAACUCGUUAAGAAACAUUUAACCACAGGUUUAUAUGCAACUUACGGCAUUGAUCUGAUGAAUGGGUUCUUGGUUUAUUGUGCAAAAGGUGAUGGGUUGCGCUAUGUCAGUUUAUCGGAUGAAUUAGAAAAUUAUGUUGUCACAAAACAACUAGCUGCUAACUCAUAUGUUGCAACAUUUGAUCGGAAAUUCUACUACACUAACCCUGAUCUUCAGACAGUAACUUGUUGUGAUCUAAAUGGUACAACAAAGUGGAUUUUUAAAAAUCAAGGAGUAUUGAGGAAUCCACUCGGUAUCUCCUUGGACAAUGAUGGAAACAUAUAUGUAGUUGGUAAUAGUUCUAAUAAUGUCGUGCUUAUCUCCCCAGAUGGACAAUAUCACAGGCAGAUUUUGUCGAAAGACGAUGGACUAGUUGAUCCGCACGUUCUCCAUUAUGACUGUUCAUCGAAUAAGCUGUUAGUAGCAAACCAAAAGAAUACUGCUUUUUUGUUCGAUGUUCUUAAAAGUUAGAAACAAAAAUUCGAAGUUAACAGAAUACACACACACGAGCACACUCAAACGUUUGAAAAGCAACUUCCUUAGUAUUUUGACUGAGAUAAAGCAUUAUUUUAAAUGUUGUGAAUUUACCUAUGGUAAAAUGUAGCCAGAAAGUCUGCGAACUUCACAUCCAUCCAGAAAGUCCAGUGAUCUCAUUUUUAUUUUUCUUAUUUGAAAAAAAUGUUAGAACAGC